UACAGAGGUCUCAAGCGUUGUUCGGAUUCAUUGGGCGUAAAGGGUGCGUAGGCGGCGCGGUAAGUCGGGUGUGAAAUCUCGGAGCUCAACUCCGAAACUGCAUUCGAUACUGCCGUGCUUGAGGACUGGAGAGGAGACUGGAAUUUACGGUGUAGCGGUGAAAUGCGUAGAUAUCGUAAGGAAGACCAGUGGCGAAGGCGGGUCUCUGGACAGUUCCUGACGCUGAGGCACGAAGGUCAGGGGAGCAAACGGG
This 253-nucleotide ribosomal RNA is filed under the name uncultured bacterium. Its description in RNAcentral is "partial 16S ribosomal RNA". It matches the Rfam family "Bacterial small subunit ribosomal RNA", at positions 524 to 776 of the family's 1533-position model. The record is from RNAcentral.